RNAcentral lists this ribosomal RNA (253 nucleotides) under uncultured bacterium. Its description in RNAcentral is "partial 16S ribosomal RNA". It matches the Rfam family "Bacterial small subunit ribosomal RNA", at positions 524 to 776 of the family's 1533-position model. The record is from RNAcentral.
UACGAAGGGGGCUAGCGUUGCUCGGAAUCACUGGGCGUAAAGGGUGCGUAGGCGGGUCUUUAAGUCAGGGGGGAAAUCCUGGAGCUCAACUCCAGAACUGCCUUUGAUACUGAAGAUCUUGAGUUCGGGAGAGGUGAGUGGAACUGCGAGUGUAGAGGUGAAAUUCGUAGAUAUUCGCAAGAACACCAGUGGCGAAGGCGGCUCACUGGCCCGAAACUGACGCUGAGGCACGAAAGCGUGGGGUGCAAGCAGG